Molecule: non-coding RNA, 25 nt
Filed under: Cricetulus griseus (Chinese hamster)
Lineage: Eukaryota; Metazoa; Chordata; Mammalia; Rodentia; Cricetidae
Also listed under: 1 other name
Source: RNAcentral
AUGUCUCUGUGGCGCAAUCGGUUAG